CAGGACGAACGCUGGCGGCGUGCCUAACACAUGCAAGUCGAGCGAAGCUUCAAAGUGGAUCCCUCGGGGUGAAACUUGGAUGUCUAGCGGCGGACGGGUGAGUAACGCGUGAGAAACCUGCCUUUCACAAAGGGAUAGCCUCGGGAAACUGGGAUUAAUACCUUAUGACACUUUAACCUCGCAUGAGGAAUAAGUCAAAGCGUAAAGCGGUGAAAGAUGGUCUCGCGUCCCAUUAGUUAGUUGGUGAGGUAACGGCUCACCAAGACUGCGAUGGGUAGCCGGCCUGAGAGGGUGAACGGCCACACUGGAACUGAGACACGGUCCAGACUCCUACGGGAGGCAGCAGUGGGGAAUAUUGCACAAUGGAGGAAACUCUGAUGCAGCGACGCCGCGUGAAUGAAGAAGGCUUUCGGGUCGUAAAGUUCUGUCCUAGGGGAAGAUAAUGACGGUACCCUAGGAGGAAGCCCCGGCUAACUACGUGCCAGCCGCUGC
This 492-nucleotide ribosomal RNA is filed under the name uncultured bacterium. RNAcentral describes it as "bacterial SSU rRNA". It matches the Rfam family "Bacterial small subunit ribosomal RNA", at positions 25 to 518 of the family's 1533-position model. The record is from RNAcentral.